Long non-coding RNA from Girardinichthys multiradiatus, 2814 nucleotides. RefSeq lists it as uncharacterized. The record is from RefSeq and is a predicted model, not a curated record. Lineage: Eukaryota; Metazoa; Chordata; Actinopteri; Cyprinodontiformes; Goodeidae. The transcript has 5 exons.
UGACCAGUAUGUACAGAAACUAGAGACCCUCACCUUUCGAACGAGGUACGUCACGUGUUUGCCCGACGAUUUCCUAUGCCAUAAUUUCCGUGCCCAACGGAGGUUAUAAAAUUAACAGUCUCAGCUGUUUUGCGCACAUUACGUCAUUACGCACAGCUGUAGUCCAAGUCAGCUUGUUGUUUUGCUUCGGCUGUGUUUUUUUUUGUUAGAUUUCUUUUAUAAUAAUGGCGCAGAAGAGGCAGAUGACCGCUCUGGAAGCGUUGGAGGAAAUUACCAGGUUGAGCGAUAUUGACAUAGAGAAUUAUUCAGAUACAGCUGUGGAUUUUGAUCAGGAAGAAGAUGAGAAUAUAUUGAGGUGCCUUGGUUACCUGAAUGCUGUUCCUGGACCCUCUUCUUUCACGGUCAAGCUCAGGUUAAAACCUCCCCGGAUUCCAUCUCUCUGGAUCUGAGUCGCACUCCGAACUUCCGAACCCAAGCCGAAAACCCUGUCUGCCCUCCAACGAACCAAACCUACACCAACAAGCAAAACAAGCCGCCUCCUCGACCUGACACCCUCCUGGACCAAAAACUCAAUUCUCACCAAGGCGAGGCUGAACCGGUCCCUGAGAGUUCCUGCCAUACCGAAUAUCAUUACUGCACAAAAAAUAAAACCUGUAAAACAAUCAGCUGUCUCAAGUUUCUGCAUGUGGGUCAAAAGAAUUGAAAAAACUGACAGAACACUCAGCCCAGUCUGACCCAGCCGAAGCCUCAAGAUCAGUACUUAACGAACAGAAAACAUUACUACUUACCCACGAGUGUGUCCUACGAAGUUUGAGACCCCUAGCGUUCUGGCCCCGGCAGUGCAACCUCACUCUACCCCUUGUGACGUCACUAUACCUACUCCUGAACUUUUCUGUGGUGAAAUCGGACAAUGUGGUGGGUUCCUUUUACAAAUUACCCUGGUCUUUAACCGCUCACCCCAAUCCUUCCCCAGUGAUGAGACUAAGAUCUCCUACAUGAUGGCGUUGUUUCGGGGAAAGGCUUUAAGAUGGGCCGAAGCCCGCUUUCAACAGUAUUCUCGUUUUGAAUGCUCUUUCCAAGAAUUCAUUAAUGAAUUAAAGCUCACUUUUGAUCACAAACCCAGUGACACAGACGUUUCCAGAAAGAUGUGGAGUCAGACAGGGUAAUCAGUCUGUUUCUGAAUUUUCCAUUGAGUUCCACACCCUCGCUGCAUCUUCAGGCUGGAAUCCCAGCGCUCUAAAAGGAGCCUUUUCCUCACUCCCUAAAUGACUCUUUAAAGGAGGAAUUUGUUCUCAGAGAUGAACCCAGAUAAUCGGGUGUGUCCCAGGUGGGACACACCCGAUUAUCACCCGUGGAACGUCAACAAAGGCUUGUAAAAGGUGAAUGUCUGCAAUGCGGGUCGAAGGGACAUUUUAAGGGUGCCUGUCUGCUGCAGCCAAAAGACAGGGUCCACCAGUAAAUCCGGGAGCAUUGGUGGACCAAAACGAAAUAUCAGGUUUCUGCCCUGGGAGGACAAAAAUUACCCUGGAUUACACACCAAACCAUCCUGUUGGAAGUCAUCUCUGGCAAUCAUUUAGAGGUUUACAGAAUUUUAUGUCUUCUCACCCCAAUCCAUCCCUGUUCAAUUUGCUUCAAAAACAUAAUCCCCACAUUAAUUGGAACAAACUUACAAUUGACUCCUGGUCCAUACCCUGCCUCUCCUCCUGCCUCCAGUCGGCUGUUCCUCCUUGUCCUCCGCCAGUUAACAGUGUAGAGGAUGACCCCGUUGCUCAAAUUCCUCCAGAGUACCAUGACCUCAAGGAGGUGUUUGGUAAGAAUCAGGAUCUCACUCUGCCUCCCCAUCAUCCAUACGAGUGUGCCACAGAUGCGCUCCCUGGGGCCCCCCACCUUCCAGUCGUCUUUACAAUCUGUCCAAACCAGAAAGAGAGACCAUGACAAAAUACAUAAAUGAAUCCCUAGCUGCAGGCAUCAUUCGUCCCUCCUCAUCACCAGUGGCCGCAGGACUCUUCUUUGUUUCCAAGAAGGACGGUUCACUCCAUACCUGCAUCGAUUAUUGAGGACUAAACAGCAUAACAAAGAACAAAUACCCCCUUCCUCUGAUUUCCUCCGCUUUUGAACUGGUCCAAGGCUCCACUAUUGUCACCAAUUUUGACCUCGGUAAUGCCUAUCAUCUUGUCCGCAUUCGACAAGGUGACGAGUGGAAAACAGCCUUCAGAACACCACUCGGACAUUUCAAAUAUUUGGUGAUGCCUUUCGGCCUUACCAAUGCUCCUGCUGUGUUCCAGGCAUUAAUGACGUCCUCUGGGAUUUUCUAGACAGCUUUGUUUUCGUUUACCUAGAUGACAUCCUAAUCUUCUCAAAAAACCUCCAAGAACACAAGACACAUGUCGGCCUGGUCCUUCAACGUCUCUUGGAGAACAGACUUUAUGUUCAAGCCAAAAAGUGUGGCUUUCACCUCUCUUCAGUGACUUUUCUGGGCUACAUUUUUUAGGGCGGACAGGUCCGAGCUGAACCAGAGAAGAUCAAGGCUGUACAAGACUCGCCCAUUCCUGAGACUCUCAAGCAGCUACAGCGCUUACUGGGGUUUGCAAAUUUUUAUAGGAGGUUCAUUAAAAAUUACAGUCCUGGUCUCCUAAAGCUCAGUCAGCCUUCUUCGAACUCAAGAACCGAUUCUCUUCCGCCUCUAUUUUGGUCCAGCCGCAACCUGACAAAGAAUUCCUUCUAGAGGUUGACGCCUCGGAAUCUGGCAUUGGAGCUAUCAUUCAACGCUCUGAUUCAGAUCAUAAGCUUCAUCCUUGUGCCUUUUUCUCCCAU